UGAAAUGUUAAUUUGUGAAUUGACAUCCUAAAAAUUGUGAUAAUUCCAUAUUCUUGAAUUUCUAUAAGAGUUUUUCAAUACAUUGGCAAUUAUGCUAAAAUGUCUUUACAAACUGCUACCUUUCUAAAUUUGAGCCCAAAAUAUUUGAUUGGUUAUUUUUUAAAUGUUAUUAAAAGCGACUGUUAUUAAUGGUUUCAGUGAAAUUCA
Molecule: long non-coding RNA, 207 nt
Filed under: Amborella trichopoda
Lineage: Eukaryota; Viridiplantae; Streptophyta; Magnoliopsida; Amborellales; Amborellaceae
Description: long non-coding RNA (ATRI_LNC003353)
Source: RNAcentral